AGCACCAGCAUGGCCUUGGCAGUGCCACCUCUGGGGCUGUGGGAGCCCAGGAUGGGCUGCAGGGAUGGAGAGCAGGGGGACAGCGAGAACCUGACCUGCAGUGAGGCUGUGCAAGGACGCUGCUGUUCAGCCUUUGCUGCCAAAGCCAAAGGAGCUGAGCUGGAUUUGGAGUGCAAAUAUUGAUGCUCUGCCCUCCCUGGGGCUCUGAAAUCA
Molecule: long non-coding RNA, 213 nt
Organism: Cyanistes caeruleus (blue tit)
Lineage: Eukaryota; Metazoa; Chordata; Aves; Passeriformes; Paridae
Source: RefSeq, a predicted model, not a curated record